UACGUAGGGUGCAAGCGUUAAUCGGAAUUACUGGGCGUAAAGCGUGCGCAGGCGGCUAUGCAAGACAGAUGUGAAAUCCCCGGGCUUAACCUGGGAACUGCAUUUGUGACUGCAUGGCUAGAGUGCGGCAGAGGGGGAUGGAAUUCCGCGUGUAGCAGUGAAAUGCGUAGAUAUGCGGAGGAACACCGAUGGCGAAGGCGGUCUGCUGGGCAGUUGCUGACACUGAGGCGCGACAGCGUGGGGAGCAAACAGG
This 253-nucleotide ribosomal RNA is filed under the name uncultured bacterium. RNAcentral describes it as "partial 16S ribosomal RNA". It matches the Rfam family "Bacterial small subunit ribosomal RNA", at positions 524 to 776 of the family's 1533-position model. The record is from RNAcentral.